UUGAAUCUUAUACUUUUGCAUGUAGGGUAUAAACUGAAAGAUGAAUCCAGGUACGCAGAGCAAGAAGUACGAAGCUUCAUGAACUAAAAGCGACCCCCACGUCGCUAUUUGGAACUUGGUGUAGUUGUCCAGCAUGUAAUUCCAAGCAUUUUUAAAUGGCUGCUGCAGAGGAUUGUCAGGCAGGAAAGAGUCUAUGUAUUCCACUGCCAGAUAAGCAGAGUUCAAGAUAUUAACGCUGUCGUUCACUGCCAUCGUUCAAGCACAAAACAUCACAGUUACAGCUCUUCUACAGUUGUCUGUGCGCAACCUCGGCGCUGUCGCGGCCCUCUCGCACCGCGGGCGACAGCAGCAAUAACAAGCGCCGCGCGGCCGGCUCUUCACCUGCGCCCUCCCAUUGGCCGCCCA
Molecule: long non-coding RNA, 405 nt
Filed under: Gallus gallus (chicken)
Lineage: Eukaryota; Metazoa; Chordata; Aves; Galliformes; Phasianidae
Source: RNAcentral